This 301-nucleotide ribosomal RNA is filed under the name uncultured bacterium. Its description in RNAcentral is "partial 16S ribosomal RNA". It matches the Rfam family "Archaeal small subunit ribosomal RNA", at positions 459 to 760 of the family's 1478-position model. The record is from RNAcentral.
CAGUCGCCACGGGAAUACCAGCACCUCGAGUGGUCAGGAGGUUUAUUGGGCCUAAAGCAUCCGUAGCCGGUUGCAUAAGUUUUCGGUUAAAUCUAUGCGCUUAACGUAUAGGCCGCCGAAAAUACUGUGCAGCUAGGGAGUGGGAGAGGUACACGGUACUCGAUAGGAAGGGGUAAAAUCCUUUGAUCUAUUGAUGACCACCUGUGGCGAAGGCGGUGUACCAGAACACGUUCGACGGUGAGGGAUGAAAGCUGGGGGAGCAAACCGGAUUAGAUACCCCCGUAGUCCCUGUCUCUUAUAC